RNAcentral lists this ribosomal RNA (466 nucleotides) under uncultured bacterium. Its description in RNAcentral is "partial 16S ribosomal RNA". It matches the Rfam family "Bacterial small subunit ribosomal RNA", at positions 28 to 507 of the family's 1533-position model. The record is from RNAcentral.
GACGAACGCUGGCGGCGUGCUUAACACAUGCAAGUCGAACGGAAAGGCCCUGCUUGCAGGUUACUCGAGUGGCAAACGGGUGAUUAACACUUGGUUGCUUUGCCCUGCACUUCGGGUUACUCUUGGGAAACUGGGUCUAUUACCGGUUAGGAGCCCUCCUUCGUGUUGUGGUUUGAAAGUUUUUUCGGUGUAGGAUUUGCUCGCGGCCUUUUCGCUUGUUGGUGGGGGAAUGGCCUACCCAGGCGGCGACGGGUAGCCGGCCUGUGAGGGUGUACGGCCACAUUGGGAGUGAGAUAUAGGCCAGAGUCUCAUGGGGGGGAGAAGGGGGGAAUAUAGCACAAAGGGGGCAAGAGUGAGGCAGAGACGCCGCGUGGGGGAUAAAGGCGUUCGGGGGGUAAACACCGUUCGCUAGGGACAAAGAGUGUGUGUGACGGUACCGAGAUAAGAAGCACCGGCUAACUACGUG